Molecule: ribosomal RNA, 490 nt
Filed under: uncultured bacterium
Lineage: Bacteria
Description: partial 16S ribosomal RNA
Rfam family: Bacterial small subunit ribosomal RNA
Source: RNAcentral
AGUGAACGCUGGCGGCAGGCCUAACACAUGCAAGUCGAACGGCAGCACAAGAGAGCUUGCUCUCUGGGUGGCGAGUGGCGGACGGGUGAGGAAUGCAUCGGAAUCUGCCCAUUUGUGGGGGAUAACCUCGGGAAACCGGGACUAAUACCGCAUACGACCUACGGGUGAAAGCAGGGGAUCUUCGGACCUUGCGCAGAUGGAUGAGCCGAUGCCGGAUUAGCUAGUUGGAGGGGUAAAGGCCCACCAAGGCGACGAUCCGUAGCUGGUCUGAGAGGAUGAUCAGCCACACUGGGACUGAGACACGGCCCAGACUCCUACGGGAGGCAGCGGUGGGGAAUAUUGGACAAUGGGCGCAAGCCUGAUCCAGCCAUGCCGCGUGUGUGAAGAAGGCCUUCGGGUUGUAAAGCACUUUUGUUGGGAAAGAAAAGCAGCCGGUUAAUACCCGGUUGUCAUGACGGUACCCAAAGAAUAAGCACCGGCUAACUUCGUG